This 468-nucleotide ribosomal RNA is filed under the name uncultured bacterium. RNAcentral describes it as "partial 16S ribosomal RNA". It matches the Rfam family "Bacterial small subunit ribosomal RNA", at positions 28 to 507 of the family's 1533-position model. The record is from RNAcentral.
GACGAACGCUGGCGGCGUGCUUAACACAUGCAAGUCGAACGGAAAGGCCCUGCUUUUGUGGGGUGCUCGAGUGGCGAACGGGUGAGUAACACGUGAGUAACCUGCCCUUGACUUUGGGAUAACUUCAGGAAACUGGGGCUAAUACCGGAUAGGAGCUCCUGCUGCAUGGAGGGGGUUGGAAAGUUUCGGCGGGUGGGGAUGGACUCGCGGCUUAUCAGCUUGUUGGUGGGGUAGUGGCUUACCAAGGCUUUGACGGGUAGCCGGCCUGAGAGGGUGACCGGCCACAUUGGGCCUGAGAUACGGCCCAGUCUCCUACGGGAGGCAGCAGUGGGGAAUAUUGCACAAUGGGCGGAAGCCUGAUGCAGCAACGCCGCGUGCGGGAUGACGGCCUUCGGGUUGUAAACCGCUUUCGCCUGUGACGAAGCGUGAGUGACGGUAAUGGGUAAAGAAGCACCGGCUAACUACGUG